CCUACGGGAGGCAGCAGUGGGGAAUAUUGCGCAAUGGGCGGAAGCCUGACGCAGCGACGCCGCGUGAGGGAUGACGGCCUUCGGGUUGUAAACCUCUUUCAGCAGGGACGAAGCGGGAGUGACGGUACCUGCAGAAGAAGCACCGGCCAACUACGUGCCAGCAGCCGCGGUAAUACGUAGGGUGCAAGCGUUGUCCGGAAUUAUUGGGCGUAAAGAGCUCGUAGGCGGCUUGUCGCGUCGGCUGUGAAAACCCGGGGCUCAACCCCGGGCCUGCAGUCGAUACGGGCAGGCUAGAGUCCGGUAGGGGAGACUGGAAUUCCUGGUGUAGCGGUGAAAUGCGCAGAUAUCAGGAGGAACACCGGUGGCGAAGGCGGGUCUCUGGGCCGGAACUGACGCUAAGGAGCGAAAGCGUGGGGAGCGAACAGGAUUAGAUACCCUGG
RNAcentral lists this ribosomal RNA (440 nucleotides) under uncultured bacterium. RNAcentral's name for it is "bacterial SSU rRNA". It matches the Rfam family "Bacterial small subunit ribosomal RNA", at positions 338 to 790 of the family's 1533-position model. The record is from RNAcentral.